UACGAGGGGGGCAAGCGUUGUUCGGAAUUAUUGGGCGUAAAGGGCGCGUAGGCGGUGCGGUAAGUCACCUGUGAAAACUCUGGGCUCAACUCAGAGCCUGCAGGCGAAACUGCCGUGCUUGAGUGUGGGAGAGGUGCGUGGAAUUCCCGGUGUAGCGGUGAAAUGCGUAGAUAUCAGGAGGAACACCUGUGGCGAAAGCGGCGCACUGGACCACAACUGACGCUGAGGCGCGAAAGCUAGGGGAGCAAACAGG
Molecule: ribosomal RNA, 253 nt
Filed under: uncultured bacterium
Lineage: Bacteria
Description: partial 16S ribosomal RNA
Rfam family: Bacterial small subunit ribosomal RNA
Source: RNAcentral